Non-coding RNA from Coccidioides immitis RS, 75 nucleotides. The record is from Rfam. NCBI's taxonomy places the organism in Eukaryota, Fungi, Ascomycota, Eurotiomycetes, Onygenales, Onygenaceae.
UUGAGCCGUAUGCGAUGAAAGUCGCACGUACGGUUCUUAAAGGGGGAAAGUUCGAGAGAACCUACCUAUCUUAAC